RNAcentral lists this ribosomal RNA (371 nucleotides) under uncultured organism. Its description in RNAcentral is "bacterial SSU rRNA". It matches the Rfam family "Bacterial small subunit ribosomal RNA", at positions 526 to 896 of the family's 1533-position model. The record is from RNAcentral.
CGGAGGGGGCUAGCGUUGUUCGGAAUUACUGGGCGUAAAGCGCACGUAGGCGGCUUUGUAAGUUAGAGGUGAAAGCCCGGGGCUCAACUCCGGAAUUGCCUUUAAGACUGCAUCGCUAGAAUUGUGGAGAGGUAAGUGGAAUUCCGAGUGUAGAGGUGAAAUUCGUAGAUAUUCGGAAGAACACCAGUGGCGAAGGCGACUUACUGGACACAUAUUGACGCUGAGGUGCAAAAGCGUGGGGAGCAAACAGGAUUAGAUACCCUGGUAGUCCACGCCGUAAACGAUGAUGACUAGCUGUCGGGGCGCUUAGCGUUCCGGUGGCGCAGCUAACGCGUUAAGUCAUCCGCCUGGGGAGUACGGCCGCAAGGUUA